GGUCCUACGGGAGGCAGCAGUGGGGAAUAUUGGGCAAUGGGCGCAAGCCUGACCCAGCAACGCCGCGUGAAGGAAGAAGGCUUUCGGGUUGUAAACUUCUUUUGUCAGGGACGAAGCAAGUGACGGUACCUGACGAAUAAGCCACGGCUAACUACGUGCCAGCAGCCGCGGUAAUACGUAGGUGGCAAGCGUUAUCCGGAUUUAUUGGGUGUAAAGGGCGUGUAGGCGGGAAAGCAAGUCAGAUGUGAAAACUCAGGGCUCAACCCUGAGCCUGCAUUUGAAACUGUUUUUCUUGAGUGCUGGAG
This 305-nucleotide ribosomal RNA is filed under the name uncultured bacterium. RNAcentral's name for it is "bacterial SSU rRNA". It matches the Rfam family "Bacterial small subunit ribosomal RNA", at positions 335 to 654 of the family's 1533-position model. The record is from RNAcentral.